GCCGCUUUACCUUGCAUUGGCCCUUCUUGAAGGAUUUGUUUGAGUGAAAGUGGACUCCAAAGCUCUCAAAAUCAGGCCACUGACCCCACACUGAAGAGGCACCGACAGAGGAUGACAAACUGUCAAAAUCUGAAGCAAAAGUUUCUCCGAAAACUGUCCUGAAGCUUCUUGAGAGCUGGUGAUGAAGGAGCAUUCGGUGCGACUAUAGAAGACUUCUCAAACAUCAAGUAAGUUGAAUAGAACCCCACACCAAUCUGUG
RNAcentral lists this long non-coding RNA (259 nucleotides) under Vitis vinifera (wine grape). RNAcentral describes it as "long non-coding RNA (VVIN_LNC008021)". The record is from RNAcentral. Lineage: Eukaryota; Viridiplantae; Streptophyta; Magnoliopsida; Vitales; Vitaceae.